RNAcentral lists this ribosomal RNA (311 nucleotides) under uncultured fungus. Its description in RNAcentral is "bacterial SSU rRNA". It matches the Rfam family "Eukaryotic small subunit ribosomal RNA", at positions 1503 to 1800 of the family's 1831-position model. Lineage: Eukaryota; Fungi. The record is from RNAcentral.
CUGAUGAAGUCAGCGAGUUUAUAACCUUGUUCGGAAGGACCUUUUUUUCCCUGGGUAAUCUUGUGAAACUUCAUCGUGCUGGGGAUAGAUCAUUGCAAUUAUUGCUCUUCAACGAGGAAUCCCUAGUAAGCGCAAGUCAUCAGCUUGCGUUGAUUACGUCCCUGCCCUUUGUACACACCGCCCGUCGCUACUACCGAUUGAAUGGCUCAGUGAGGCUUCCGGACUGGCCCAGAGAGGUCGGCAACGACCACUCAGGGCCGGAAAGCUAUCCAAACUCGGUCAUUUAGAGGAAGUAAAAGUCGUAACAAGGU